RNAcentral lists this ribosomal RNA (423 nucleotides) under uncultured bacterium. RNAcentral's name for it is "bacterial SSU rRNA". It matches the Rfam family "Bacterial small subunit ribosomal RNA", at positions 28 to 454 of the family's 1533-position model. The record is from RNAcentral.
GACGAACGCUGGCGGCGUGCCUAACACAUGCAAGUCGAGCGAAUGAAGUUCCUUCGGGAACGGAUUUAGCGGCGGACGGGUGAGUAACACGUGGGCAACCUGCCUCAUAGAGGGGAAUAGCCUUCCGAAAGGGAGAUUAAUACCGCAUAAGAUUGUAGUACCGCAUGGUACAGCAAUUAAAGGAGCAAUCCGCUAUGAGAUGGGCCCGCGGCGCAUUAGCUAGUUGGUGAGGUAACGGCUCACCAAGGCGACGAUGCGUAGCCGACCUGAGAGGGUGAUCGGCCACAUUGGGACUGAGACACGGCCCAGACUCCUACGGGAGGCAGUAGUGGGGAAUAUUGCACAAUGGGGGAAACCCUGAUGCAGCAACGCCGCGUGAGUGAUGACGGCCUGGUGUAAGCUCUGUGAUCGGGACGAACGGUC